GUUUGCUCCCCAUGAGGCGUCUAAAGCAACUCCAAGUUCUCCUGUCUCUGUGAGAAGGCUAUGGUCUGGAUGCCUGACCUGAAUGCCCAUGAGGAUGUGGAUUACCUCUUUGCUGAGGGAGACUGAGAGGUUCAGAGGCUUGUCGGACAUGAAGAACUGCCAGGAUGCCUCAGCACAGGGCUGGGGACCCAUCUCAGGAGGGGCAUGCUGCACUUUCCGGAUCAGCAACCGCACAGAGCUCCUGAGGAGAAAAGGUCCAGGGUUCCUGGAACUGAAUGCUGAACCAGCAAUGCCCUCAAGGAUCCCCUUCAUCUUGUCAGACUCAGCUUAGCCUCCUCUCAGGAGGGUCUGUAUCAUGGCUUCAGAUGACUUGUGUGACCAGGCUUUGGAGCGCCAUGCAACUGUGACACACUGUCACUGUCACAAGCAUCAAAAGCACUGAGCUCGGGGUCAGAUCCACAGCAAAGCACACAGCACUGUGAGAUGUGAAUGCUGAGUAUGAGCAGAAUGUGGGAAGGGAUGGGAUGGAUGGAGAC
Molecule: long non-coding RNA, 536 nt
Organism: Mesocricetus auratus (golden hamster)
Lineage: Eukaryota; Metazoa; Chordata; Mammalia; Rodentia; Cricetidae
Exons: 3
Source: RefSeq, a predicted model, not a curated record